RNAcentral lists this transfer RNA (101 nucleotides) under Metarhizium album ARSEF 1941. It matches the Rfam family "tRNA". From Rfam's summary of the family: Transfer RNA (tRNA) molecules are approximately 80 nucleotides in length. Their secondary structure includes four short double-helical elements and three loops (D, anti-codon, and T loops). Lineage: Eukaryota; Fungi; Ascomycota; Sordariomycetes; Hypocreales; Clavicipitaceae. The record is from Rfam by way of RNAcentral.
GGCCGGGUAGCUCAAUGGUAGAGCGUCUGAUUACACAAGUAUCCUUAUAGUAUCCUUAUGCCGUAAUCAGAAGGUAGCAGGUUCGAUUCCUGCCCUGGCCG